GGGGACGUAGCUCAGCUGGGAGAGCACCUGCUUUGCAAGCAGGGGGUCGGCGGUUCGAGUCCGCUCGUCUCCA
RNAcentral lists this transfer RNA (73 nucleotides) under bacterium. RNAcentral describes it as "tRNA-Ala". It matches the Rfam family "tRNA". From Rfam's summary of the family: Transfer RNA (tRNA) molecules are approximately 80 nucleotides in length. Their secondary structure includes four short double-helical elements and three loops (D, anti-codon, and T loops). RNAcentral also lists the same sequence under 2 other names. The record is from RNAcentral.